Molecule: ribosomal RNA, 378 nt
Filed under: uncultured bacterium
Lineage: Bacteria
Description: bacterial SSU rRNA
Rfam family: Bacterial small subunit ribosomal RNA
Source: RNAcentral
AACGAACGUUGGCGGUGUGCCUAAUACAUGCAAGUCGAGCGAGAAAGCCGGGGCAACUCGGCGAGUACAGCGGCGGAAGGGUGCGUAAUACAUGGAUAACGUACCCUCUAGUUGGGGAUAACCCUCCGAAAGGUGGGCUAAUACCGAAUAAAGGCAGCGGGUGGCAUCAUCUGCUGCUUAAAGACGCAAGUCGCUAGAGGAGCGGUCCAUGGCCUAUCAGCUAGUUGGCGGGGUAACGGCCCACCAAGGCAAUGACGGGUAGCCGGACUGAGAGGUUGAACGGCCACACUGGGACUGAGACACGGCCCAGACAUCUACGGAUGGCAGCAGUAGGGAAUCUUGCGCAAUGGGCGAAAGCCUGACGCAGCGACACCGCGU